RNAcentral lists this ribosomal RNA (444 nucleotides) under uncultured Syntrophomonas sp. RNAcentral's name for it is "bacterial SSU rRNA". It matches the Rfam family "Bacterial small subunit ribosomal RNA", at positions 937 to 1382 of the family's 1533-position model. The record is from RNAcentral. Lineage: Bacteria; Bacillati; Bacillota; Clostridia; Eubacteriales; Syntrophomonadaceae.
GCAUGUGGUUAAUUCGAUGCAACGCGAAGAACCUUACCAGGCUUGACAUCCAACGAAUCCUUCUGAAAGGAAGGAGUGCCUUCGGGAGCGUUGAGACAGGUGGUGCAUGGUUGUCGUCAGCUCGUGUCGUGAGAUGUUGGGUUAAGUCCCGCAACGAGCGCAACCCUUGCUAUUAGUUGCUAACAGGUUAAGCUGAGCACUCUAAUGGGACUGCCGGUGACAAGCCGGAGGAAGGUGGGGAUGACGUCAAAUCAUCAUGCCCUUUAUGACCUGGGCUACACACGUGCUACAAUGGAUGGUACAGAGAGCAGCGAGGCAGCGACGUGGAGCGAAUCUCAAAAAGCCAUUCUCAGUUCGGAUUGGAGUCUGCAACUCGACUCCAUGAAGUCGGAAUCGCUAGUAAUCGCGGAUCAGCACGCCGCGGUGAAUACGUUCCCGGGCCUU